Perca fluviatilis (European perch) is the source of this 500-nucleotide long non-coding RNA. RefSeq lists it as uncharacterized. The transcript is spliced from 4 exons. Lineage: Eukaryota; Metazoa; Chordata; Actinopteri; Perciformes; Percidae. The record is from RefSeq and is a predicted model, not a curated record.
GACUGAGUAAACUCUGAAACUAAGCGCUAAUUUAAACAGUGGAAGUGGUACAAAGGUCAGACAGAUCAUGGAACCUCAUCUCAUCUGAUUAACUUCUUUUUAAAGUUCAAGGUGUCUGAUCACAAGGGCGCUGCAUAUGAGCAACAUCAGCAAGCAGGCUAAGUCAGCCAAGGUGUAAAUGCCAGAAUCAGAAUCGGUGGGUCUGAUGAUGAGACCCUGGCUAAGUACAGUGUGUCUGGGACCGGUAAGGAGGAUGCUUUCAGAGAGGUGCCAGCUGAUCGGGAGGUUUGUCUCAGGGGAACAUGGGAGGAACUGCACUAACCCAGGGAUGAGGUAGACAACAGCAGGAGAGCUGGAGAAAGUUGACUGGCUGAGGAGUUUGAAACAGCUGCAGCUCCUCGAUGACGCGGCCGUCCUCACCAUCAAACCUCACUGCCUUCUGCAGCCAACCAGAGUCUGAGGGAGAAAAAUGAAGCCAGUUCAUCUGUCAAUACACCUUG